This 336-nucleotide unclassified non-coding RNA is filed under the name soil metagenome. RNAcentral describes it as "partial contains 5.8S ribosomal RNA, internal transcribed spacer 2, and large subunit ribosomal RNA". The stretch from base 1 to 120 matches the Rfam family "5.8S ribosomal RNA", at positions 35 to 154 of the family's 154-position model. The record is from RNAcentral.
GAUGAAGAACGCAGCGAAAUGCGAUAAGUAGUGUGAAUUGCAGAAUUCAGUGAAUCAUCGAAUCUUUGAACGCACAUUGCGCCCCUUGGUAUUCCAUGGGGCAUGCCUGUUCGAGCGUCAUUUGUACCUUCAAGCUUUGCUUGGUGUUGAGUGUUUGUCUCGCCUUUGCGUGUAGACUCGCCUUAAAAUAAUUGGCAGCCGGCGUAUUGAUUUCGGAGCGCAGUACAUCUCGCGCUUUGCACUCAUAACGACAGCGUCCAAAAGUACAUUUUACACUCUUGACCUCGGAUCAGGUAGGGAUACCCGCUGAACUUAAGCAUAUCAAUAAGCGGAGGA